Molecule: ribosomal RNA, 877 nt
Filed under: Astreopora myriophthalma
Lineage: Eukaryota; Metazoa; Cnidaria; Anthozoa; Scleractinia; Acroporidae
Description: partial small subunit ribosomal RNA
Rfam family: Bacterial small subunit ribosomal RNA
Source: RNAcentral
GGAAAGCUCAAAUGGGGAAUUGGCCCCGGAGGCAGCAGUAAAGAAUUUUGUGCAAUAUAUGAAGGUAAGACACAGAGAGGGCACCUUACCUAGUCCGUCAAAUUAAGUGCCAGCAGACGCGGUGAAACUUAAGGGCUAGUUUUGUGGGCAAAAGCGUAAAGGGUGUGAUAGGCCGUUUUAAUUAAAAAGGGUUUUAUAAUUUAAGAAGGUAAAUGGAAUUUUUUUGUAGCGGUGGAAUGUGUAAAUAGAAAAAAGAACUUUAGACGUGAAGACUAUUUAUUUUUGAGAUUAUGGUGUGAUGGCUAAAACACGAGAGUAUGGGGAGCAAACAGGAUUAGGGACCCUGGUAGUCUAUACUGUAAAUAAUGAAAAAGAUGUGAAGCAAUCCUAAAAAGUCAGAAAUUUUCCGCUUGAGUAGUACGACCGCAAGGUUAAAAUUCAAAAAACUUGGCUGUUCACUGUUUUAAUUAGAGGAGCGUGUCGUUUAAUUCGAUAGUCCGCGAGAGACCUUACCCAAACUUGAAUCCCUCAUUGACAGGUAUUGCAUGGCCGUCGUCAAUUUGUGUAUUAAACAUAAAACAGAUUUAACCCAGUGGUUUGUCACUUGGAUGAAGUCAGGUCUUAUUGUCCUAAUGUUUGGGGAUUAGAUGCGCUACAUUUUUUUAUACAAUAGGAAACUUUGAGUGUGAAACCUGAAAAUAAGAGUUCGGAAAGUGCCUGGAAGAUUACGGAAAGUUGUAUUUAAUAGUAAUUGAAAAGUAGAGCGUUUCAAUGAAAUUUUUUCAGUGUUAGUACAAAUUGCCCGUCGCCUUUGCUUAGACAGGUUGGUUGAUUGCCCCUCAAGAGGGUUUCUAAUACCUCCGAGGCAGAGUAAGUC